This 479-nucleotide ribosomal RNA is filed under the name uncultured organism. Its description in RNAcentral is "partial 16S ribosomal RNA". It matches the Rfam family "Bacterial small subunit ribosomal RNA", at positions 331 to 801 of the family's 1533-position model. The record is from RNAcentral.
GUACACUCCUACGGGAGGCAGCAGUGGGGAAUUUUGGACAAUGGGCGAAAGCCUGAUCCAGCCAUGCCGCGUGCAGGAUGAAGGCCUUCGGGUUGUAAACUGCUUUUGUACGGAACGAAACGGCCUUUUCUAAUAAAAAGGGCUAAUGACGGUACCGUAAGAAUAAGCACCGGCUAACUACGUGCCAGCAGCCGCGGUAAUCCGUAGGGUGCAAGCGUUAAUCGGAAUUACUGGGCGUAAAGCGUGCGCAGGCGGUUAUGUAAGACAGUUGUGAAAUCCCCGGGCUCAACCUGGGAACUGCAUCUGUGACUGCAUAGCUAGAGUACGGUAGAGGGGGAUGGAAUUCCGCGUGUAGCAGUGAAAUGCGUAGAUAUGCGGAGGAACACCGAUGGCGAAGGCAAUCCCCUGGACCUGUACUGACGCUCAUGCACGAAAGCGUGGGGAGCAAACAGGAUUAGAUACCCCUGUAGUCCCAUGAU